UACGUAGGGUGCGAGCGUUAAUCGGAAUUACUGGGCGUAAAGGGCGCGUAGGCGGCGCAGUUAGUCAGGCGUGAAAUCCCCGGGCUCAACCUGGGAACUGCAUUUGUGACUGCAUAGCUAGAGUACGGUAGAGGGGGAUGGAAUUCCGCGUGUAGCAGUGAAAUGCGUAGAUAUGCGGAGGAACACCGAUGGCGAAGGCAAUCCCCCUGGACCUGUACUGACGCUCAUGCACGAAAGCGUGGGGAGCAAACAGG
RNAcentral lists this ribosomal RNA (254 nucleotides) under uncultured bacterium. Its description in RNAcentral is "partial 16S ribosomal RNA". It matches the Rfam family "Bacterial small subunit ribosomal RNA", at positions 524 to 776 of the family's 1533-position model. The record is from RNAcentral.